GGACCCGCACAAGCAGCGGAGCGUGUGGUUUAAUUCGAUGGAACACGAAGAACCUUACCCAGGUUUGACAUACUAGUGGUAGUGAACUGAAAGGGGAACGACCCGCAAGGGAGCUAGUACAGGUGUUGCAUGGCUGUCGUCAGCUCGUGUCGUGAGAUGUUGGUUUAAGUACCCUAACGAGCGCAACCCUUAUUGCCAGUUACACGUAUCUGGCGAGACUGCCGGCCACAAGCCGGAGGAAGGCGAGGAUGACGUCAAGUCAGCAUGGCCUUUAUAUCUGGGGCUACACACACGCUACAAUGGGCGUAACAAUGGGAUGCCAAGCCGUGAGGCGGAGCCAAUCCCCCAAAUACGUCCUCAGUUCAGAUUGCAGGCUGCAACCCGCCUGCAUGAAGUCGGAGUUGCUAGUAAACGCGCGUCAGCUAUAGUGCGUUGAAUACGUUCCCGGGUCUU
RNAcentral lists this ribosomal RNA (453 nucleotides) under uncultured bacterium. RNAcentral describes it as "bacterial SSU rRNA". It matches the Rfam family "Bacterial small subunit ribosomal RNA", at positions 917 to 1382 of the family's 1533-position model. The record is from RNAcentral.